Molecule: ribosomal RNA, 407 nt
Filed under: uncultured bacterium
Lineage: Bacteria
Description: partial 16S ribosomal RNA
Rfam family: Bacterial small subunit ribosomal RNA
Source: RNAcentral
AUUGAACGCUGGCGGCAUGCCUAACACAUGCAAGUCGAGCGGAGCGGCGGACGGGUGAGUAAUGCCUACGAAUCUGCCUGGUAGUGGUGGAUAGCGUCCGGAAACGGGACCUAAUACCGCAUCCUAUCAGAUGAGCCUAGGUCGGAUUAGCUAGUUGGUGGGGUAAGGGCCUACCAAGGCGACGAUCCGUAACUGGUCUGAGAGGAUGAUCAGUCACACGGGAACUGAGACACGGUCCAGACUCCUACGGGAGGCAGCAGUGGGGAAUAUUGGACAAUGGGCGAAAGCCUGAUCCAGCCAUGCCGCGUGUGUGAAGAAGGUCUUCGGAUUGUAAAGCACUUUAAGUUGGGAGGCGGUACCAGCAGAAGAAGCACCGGCUAACUUCGUGCCAGCAGCCGCGGUAAUUC